AGAGUUUGAUCCUGGCUCAAGAUGAACGCUAGCGACAGGCUUAACACAUGCAAGUCGAGGGGCAGCGGGGGAGCAGCAAUGCUCCCGCCGGCGACCGGCGCACGGGUGAGUAACACGUAUGGAACCUGCCCGCAGCAGGGGGAUAAGCGAAAGAAAUUCCGUCUAAUACCGCGUAACACCGCGGAGGGGCAUCCCUCGGCGGUUAAAGAUUCAUCGGCUGCGGAUGGCCAUGCGGCGCAUUAGCUAGUCGGCGGGGUAACGGCCCCACCGAGGCGACGAUGCGUAGGGGUUCUGAGAGGAAGGUCCCCCACACUGGUACUGAGACACGGACCAGACUCCUACGGGAGGCAGCAGUGAGGAAUAUUGGUCAAUGGCCGGGAGGCUGAACCAGCCAAGUCGCGUGAGGGAAGACGGCCCUACGGGUUGUAAACCUCUUUUGUCAGGGAGCAAGAGGCGGGUCGGGACCUGCUGUGAGAGUACCUGAAGAAAAAGCAUCGGCUAACUCCGUGCCAGCAGCCGCGGUAAUACGGAGGAUGCGAGCGUUAUCCGGAUUUAUUGGGUUUAAAGGGUGCGCAGGCGGAGGCACAAGUCAGCGGUAAAAUCGCGGGGCUCAACCCCGCUCCGCCGUUGAAACUGUGUCCCUUGAGUGCGCGAAGGGUAGGCGGAAUGCGUGGUGUAGCGGUGAAAUGCAUAGAUAUCACGCAGAACUCCGAUCGCGAAGGCAGCCUACCGGCGCGCGACUGACGCUCAUGCACGAAAGCGUGGGUAUCGAACAGGAUUAGAUACCCUGGUAGUCCACGCAGUAAACGAUGAAUGCUAUCUGUCCGGCCGGAAUGACGGCUGGGUGGCACAGCGAAAGCGUUAAGCAUUCCACCCCGGGGAGUACGCCGGCAACGGUGAAACUCAAAGGAAUUGACGGGGGCCCGCACAAGCGGAGGAACAUGUGGUUUAAUUAGAUGAUACGCGAGGAACCUUACCCGGGCUCAAACGCAGGAGGGAUGUUUUUGAAAGGAGGCAGCCAGCAAUGGUCUCCUGCGAGGUGCUGCAUGGUUGUCGUCAGCUCGUGCCGUGAGGUGUCGGCUUAAGUGCCAUAACGAGCGCAACCCCUACCUACAGUUGCCAUCGCGUGAUGGCGGGCACUCUGUGGGGACUGCCUGCGCAAGCAGUGAGGAAGGCGGGGAUGAUGUCAAAUCAGCACGGCCCUUACGUCCGGGGCGACACACGUGUUACAAUGGCAGGUACAGCGGGAAGCCACCCGGCGACGGGGCGCGGAACCCGAAAACCUGUCUCAGUUCGGAUUGGAGUUUGCAACCCGACUCCAUGAAGCUGGAUUCGCUAGUAAUCGCGCAUCAGCCACGGCGCGGUGAAUACGUUCCCGGGCCUUGCACACACCGCCCGUCA
RNAcentral lists this ribosomal RNA (1401 nucleotides) under synthetic construct. RNAcentral describes it as "bacterial SSU rRNA". It matches the Rfam family "Bacterial small subunit ribosomal RNA". RNAcentral also lists the same sequence under 2 other names. The record is from RNAcentral.